CUCCCUGUGGCUCAGUUGGUAGAGCAUGGUGUUUGCAACGCCAGCAUGGUGUUUGCAACGCCAGGGUUGUGGGUUCGAUUCCCACAGGGGGC
This 92-nucleotide transfer RNA is filed under the name Salmo salar (Atlantic salmon). It matches the Rfam family "tRNA". From Rfam's summary of the family: Transfer RNA (tRNA) molecules are approximately 80 nucleotides in length. Their secondary structure includes four short double-helical elements and three loops (D, anti-codon, and T loops). Further hydrogen bonds mediate the characteristic L-shaped molecular structure. tRNAs have two regions of fundamental functional importance: the anti-codon, which is responsible for specific mRNA codon recognition, and the 3' end, to which the tRNAs corresponding amino acid is attached (by aminoacyl-tRNA synthetases). tRNAs cope with the degeneracy of the genetic code in two manners: having more than one tRNA (with a specific anti-codon) for a particular amino acid; and 'wobble' base-pairing, i.e. permitting non-standard base-pairing at the 3rd anti-codon position. The record is from Rfam by way of RNAcentral. Lineage: Eukaryota; Metazoa; Chordata; Actinopteri; Salmoniformes; Salmonidae.